UGGCGGCGUGCCUAAUACAUGCAAGUCGAACGAGAUAGCAAUAUCGAGUGGACGAACGGGAGAGUAACACGUAGGUAACCUACCUUAUAGUUGGGAUACCCUGGGGAAACCUAGGCUAAUACCGAAUAAUUGGAUUGGAGGCAUCUCCGAUCUCUAAAAAGGGGGACCUUUAAAGCCUCGCUAAAUGAUGGACCUGCGGCGCAUUAGCUAGUUGGUGAGAUAACACGCCCACCAAGGCGAGGAUGCGUAGCCGACCUGAGAGGGUGAACGGCCUCACUGGAACUGAGACACGGUCCAGACUCCUACGGGAGGCAGCAGUAGGGAGUUUUCGGCAAGUGGGGGAAACCCUGACCGAGCAACGCCGCGUGAACGAUAGAAGGUCUUCGGAUUGUAAAGUUCUGUUGUAAGGGAAAAAUGAUAUGGUGAGGAAAUGCUCCAUAUUUGAUGGUACCUUAUUAGAAAGCCACGGCUAACUACGUGCCAGCAGCCGC
This 491-nucleotide ribosomal RNA is filed under the name uncultured bacterium. RNAcentral describes it as "bacterial SSU rRNA". It matches the Rfam family "Bacterial small subunit ribosomal RNA", at positions 37 to 518 of the family's 1533-position model. The record is from RNAcentral.